UACGAAGGGGGCUAGCGUUGCUCGGAAUUACUGGGCGUAAAGGGCGCGUAGGCGGACGUUUAAGUCAGAGGUAAAAGCCCAGGGCUCAACCUUGGAACUGCCUUUGAUACUGGAUGUCUUGAGUUCGGGAGAGGUGAGUGGAAUGCCGAGUGUAGAGGUGAAAUUCGUAGAUAUUCGGCGGAACACCAGUGGCGAAGGCGACUCACUGGCCCGAUACUGACGCUGAGGCGCGAAAGCGUGGGGAGCAAACAGG
Molecule: ribosomal RNA, 253 nt
Filed under: uncultured bacterium
Lineage: Bacteria
Description: partial 16S ribosomal RNA
Rfam family: Bacterial small subunit ribosomal RNA
Source: RNAcentral